CACUUACACAGGCAUGGCAAAGCAACUGAACUCCACUACACAUGUCAUCUUCUGCUAACUCACUCCGAGCUCAUUCAGCCAUAUCUUGACUGACCAGGAUCUACAAUGAGUUUAGAAAGUUUUUCUGCAUUAUUUCCUCCUGCUGAUGGUCACAAAUAUGGCGGCUGCGAGGAAAAUGUGACGUCACUGAAACAGAUGCCUCCAUUAAUCUUACUGAUAUUCCUGGGAGUCCACAGGCCGAAUAUAUGUGAUUUCCUGAGGGUCUAGAUGUGAGACUUUGAAGUGGAUCUCUGGCAUCGAACAUGAUGGGAAGGAGAGAAGGGGGCAUGGUGGGUGUGGAGAAGGUUCCAGCAGGCCAUGGAAGCUGUCAGAUGCCAGUAGGAGUGACUGAUGAUCGGGGUUGGUGUCCGAUUCCAACACUGGUCCCUGAUCUGUGUAAUCAGAACCUGUGAAAUGGCGGGAUUAGCCAGGUCAGACAGGGUCAGGAGAGAUGGAUGUUGAACUUCCCUCUCAGCUGUGCUUAGACACUCUGAGGCAGAGGAGUUUUACAUAAUCAGCGGGUGGUCUCCGGGGUGCGGGAGUAGAGCUGUUCUAACACACAUACACAGUCUCGCACUCCACACUUCCUCAAAUGCACCCCAUGCUGCUUUCGCCAGAGGAAGAGACCCCACUGUGUAUAGCUCUACUCCACAGAAUUAAUGAAGGAAUGUGGAAUUGUUCUAGUUUUGAAUAACAGAGAGCACUGUGCUUGGUGCUGCUCAAAAGGAGGAGGACAUGGUGUCUGUGUUCUGUGCAAACAAAUGUAGAUCACUAUAUUUGAUGAUUUUAGGUUUUCUGUGUAUUUUUAUACACCUUUUAGUGGAAAUGCAAUUUAUUCUCUUCCUGUGAUUGGCCCAUCACAUUAAAUCACAGAUGCCCUAAUAAAACGUCUUUCCCUUCACUCCUUUAUAAAUAGGGAAUUUAAGCAACAGCUGUGGACGCGACGAUCCGAAGUAAACAGAUCAACCGCCAUUGCCAAGAAACGUAAAGGUCAUUAAGCAACAACACAGAGGACGGCGGACCAGCUCAUUUAAUCAUUCAUUUCACAAUUAUGAAAAUGUCAUUUAAAAAAGCAAGA
Long non-coding RNA from Myxocyprinus asiaticus (Chinese sucker), 1117 nucleotides. RefSeq lists it as uncharacterized. NCBI's taxonomy places the organism in Eukaryota, Metazoa, Chordata, Actinopteri, Cypriniformes, Catostomidae. The transcript has 3 exons. The record is from RefSeq and is a predicted model, not a curated record.